Molecule: ribosomal RNA, 463 nt
Filed under: Salmonella enterica subsp. enterica serovar Enteritidis
Lineage: Bacteria; Pseudomonadati; Pseudomonadota; Gammaproteobacteria; Enterobacterales; Enterobacteriaceae
Description: partial 23S ribosomal RNA
Rfam family: Bacterial large subunit ribosomal RNA
Source: RNAcentral
AAUCCGGGAGGACCAUCUCCCAAGGCUAAAUACUCCCUAGUGACCGAUAGUGAACCAGUACCGUGAGGGAAAGGUGAAAAGCACCCCGGAAGGGGAGUGAAACAGUUCCUGAAACCGUGUGCCUACAAGUAGUUAGAGCCCGUUAAUGGGUGAUAGCGUGCCUUUUGUAGAAUGAACCGGCGAGUUACGAUUUGUUGCAAGGUUAAGCGGAAAAAGCGGAGCCGUAGCGAAAGCGAGUCUGAAUAGGGCGCAUAAGUAACAGGUCGUAGACCCGAAACCAGGUGAUCUACCCAUGUCCAGGAUGAAGGUAAGGUAAUACUUACUGGAGGUCCGAACCCACGCACGUUGAAAAGUGCGGGGAUGAGGUGUGGGUAGCGGAGAAAUUCCAAUCGAACUUGGAGAUAGCUGGUUCUCUCCGAAAUAGCUUUAGGGCUAGCCUCGAGGUAAAGAGUCAUGGAGGUAG